RNAcentral lists this ribosomal RNA (490 nucleotides) under uncultured bacterium. Its description in RNAcentral is "partial 16S ribosomal RNA". It matches the Rfam family "Bacterial small subunit ribosomal RNA", at positions 30 to 507 of the family's 1533-position model. The record is from RNAcentral.
AUUGAACGCUGGCGGCAUGCCUUACACAUGCAAGUCGAACGGCAGCAUGAUCUAGCUUGCUAGAUUGAUGGCGAGUGGCGAACGGGUGAGUAAUACAUCGGAACGUGCCCUGUAGUGGGGGAUAACUAGUCGAAAGAUUAGCUAAUACCGCAUACGACCUGAGGGUGAAAGUGGGGGACCGCAAGGCCUCAUGCUAUAGGAGCGGCCGAUGUCUGAUUAGCUAGUUGGUGAGGUAAAGGCUCACCAAGGCGACGAUCAGUAGCUGGUCUGAGAGGACGAUCAGCCACACUGGGACUGAGACACGGCCCAGACUCCUACGGGAGGCAGCAGUGGGGAAUUUUGGACAAUGGGCGAAAGCCUGAUCCAGCAAUGCCGCGUGUGUGAAGAAGGCCUUCGGGUUGUAAAGCACUUUUGUCCGGAAAGAAAUGGCGCUGGUUAAUACCUGGGGUCGAUGACGGUACCGGAAGAAUAAGGACCGGCUAACUACGUG